This 1234-nucleotide ribosomal RNA is filed under the name Glomus sp. MUCL 43207. RNAcentral describes it as "eukaryotic LSU rRNA". It matches the Rfam family "Eukaryotic large subunit ribosomal RNA", at positions 29 to 1116 of the family's 3401-position model. The record is from RNAcentral. Lineage: Eukaryota; Fungi; Glomeromycota; Glomeromycetes; Glomerales; Glomeraceae.
UGAACUUAAGCAUAUCAAUAAGCGGAGGAAAAGAAAAUAACAAUGAUUCCCCUAGUAACUGCGAGUGAAGAGGGACAAGCUCAAAUUUUAAAUCUAUCGGGUUUUACCCGAUCGAGUUGUAAUUUGAAGAGGCGUUUUCUGUGUUUCUGAUCAGUCCAAGUCCUUUGGGAUAAGGCAUCAUGGAGGGUGAGAAUCCCGUCCGGUUGAUCAGAUUCGCUUUACGAUACGCUUUCUAAGAGUCAAGUUGUUUGGGAUUGCAGCUUAAAAUGGGAGGUAAAUUUCUCCUAAGGCUAAAUAACGGCGAGAGACCGAUAGCGAACAAGUACCGUGAGGGAAAGAUGAAAAGAACUUUGAAAAGAGAGUUAAACAGUACGUGAAAUUGUUGAAAGGGAAACGAUUGAAGCCAGUCGUACCUAUGGGUAAUCAGCCUUUUGGGUGUGAUUUUGUGGAGCGUGAGGAGUUAAACGCCUUCAUGCCUGCAUAUUCGUGCACUUUGGGUGUACUUGCCCGUAUGGUUGGUUAACAUCAAUUUUGGUGGUCAUAAAAUGACUGGAGGAAUGUAGCUUCGAUCUCGUAUUGAAGUGUUAUAGCCUUCGGUAGAUGUGAUGAUCGAGAUUGAGGAUUGCAACGGAUACCCUUCGGGGCUACCUGUCUGAUCUCUGAUCGUUGCUCUGGUGCCGAAAGCUUGCUUACGGUUAUCAAAGUCGAUGGUCAAUAGGUUAGAACGGGUUAAAUUCGUUAAGGAUGUUGACGUAAUGGCUUUAAACGACCCGUCUUGAAACACGGACCAAGGAGUCUAACAUAUAUGCGAGUGUUAGGGUGAUUAAACCCUUACGCGUAAUGAAAGUAAUUUUGGUGGGAACAUUUUUGUGCACCAUCGACCGAUCAGGAUAUUUUUUGAUAGAUUUGAGUAAGAGCAUAUCUGCUAGGACCCGAAAGAUGGUGAACUAUGCCUGAAUAGGGUGAAGUCAGAGGAAACUCUGAUGGAGGCUCGUAGCGGUUCUGACGUGCAAAUCGAUCGUCAAAUUUGGGUAUAGGGGCGAAAGACUAAUCGAACCAUCUAGUAGCUGGUUCCUGCCGAAGUUUCCCUCAGGAUAGCAGAAACUCGUUAACAGUUUUAUGAGGUAAAGCGAAUGAUUAGAGGCCUUAGGGUUGAAACAGCCUUAACCUAUUCUCAAACUUUAAAUAUGUAAGAAGUUUAUCGUUACUUAAUUGAACGUGAACAUUCGAAUGA